RNAcentral lists this non-coding RNA (28 nucleotides) under Homo sapiens (human). The record is from RNAcentral. Lineage: Eukaryota; Metazoa; Chordata; Mammalia; Primates; Hominidae.
UGGGAGCCUAUGCCAUUUAUUGGUAAUC